GACAGCAGUCGCCGCGGUAAUACGUAGGUCCCGAGCGUUGUCCGGAUUUAUUGGGCGUAAAGCGAGCGCAGGCGGUUAGAUAAGUCUGAAGUUAAAGGCUGUGGCUUAACCAUAGUACGCUUUGGAAACUGUUUAACUUGAGUGCAAGAGGGGAGAGUGGAAUUCCAUGUGUAGCGGUGAAAUGCGUAGAUAUAUGGAGGAACACCGGUGGCGAAAGCGGCUCUCUGGUCUGUAACUGACGCUGAGGCUCGAAAGCGUGGGGAGCAAACAGGAUUAGAUACCCCAGUAGUCCCUGUCUCUUAUACA
This 306-nucleotide ribosomal RNA is filed under the name uncultured bacterium. RNAcentral describes it as "partial 16S ribosomal RNA". It matches the Rfam family "Bacterial small subunit ribosomal RNA", at positions 507 to 808 of the family's 1533-position model. The record is from RNAcentral.